This 514-nucleotide ribosomal RNA is filed under the name uncultured bacterium. Its description in RNAcentral is "partial 16S ribosomal RNA". It matches the Rfam family "Bacterial small subunit ribosomal RNA", at positions 28 to 523 of the family's 1533-position model. The record is from RNAcentral.
GAUGAACGCUGGCGGCGUGCCUAAUACAUGCAAGUCGAGCGAACAGAUGAGAAGCUUGCUUCUCUGAUGUUAGCGGCGGACGGGUGAGUAACACGUGGGUAACCCACCUAUAGGACUGGGAUAACUCCGGGAAACCGGGGCUAAUACCGGAUAAUAUUUUGAACCGCAUGGUUCAAUAGUGAAAGACGGUUUCGGCUGUCACUUAUAGAUGGACCCGCGCCGUAUUAGCUAGUUGGUAAGGUAACGGCUUACCAAGGCGACGAUACGUAGCCGACCUGAGAGGGCGAUCGGCCACACUGGAACUGAGACACGGUCCAGACUCCUACGGGAGGCAGCAGUAGGGAAUCUUCCGCAAUGGGCGAAAGCCUGACGGAGCAACGCCGCGUGAGUGAUGAAGGUCUUCGGAUCGUAAAACUCUGUUGUUAGGGAAGAACAAAUUUGUUAGUAACUGAACAAGUCUUGACGGUACCUAACCAGAAAGCCACGGCUAACUACGUGCCAGCCGCCGCGGUAA